UCUCCUACGGGGGGCAGCAGUGGGGAAUAUUGCACAAUGGGCGCAAGCCUGAUGCAGCGACGCCGCGUGCGGGAUGGAGGCCUUCGGGUUGUAAACCGCUUUUGUUCAAGGGCAAGGCACGGUCUUUGGCCGUGUUGAGUGGAUUGUUCGAAUAAGCACCGGCUAACUACGUGCCAGCAGCCGCGGUAAUACGUAGGGUGCAGGCGUUAUCCGGGUUUAUUGGGGGUAAAGGGCUCGUAGGCGGUUCGUCGCGUCCGGUGGGAAAAUCCAUCGGUUAACGGUGGAUC
Molecule: ribosomal RNA, 287 nt
Filed under: uncultured bacterium
Lineage: Bacteria
Description: partial 16S ribosomal RNA
Rfam family: Bacterial small subunit ribosomal RNA
Source: RNAcentral